GAUCGGCCGGGGAUGACCGCGCGUCGGGUCGCAAGGCCGCAGACGUGAGGAAAGUCCGGACACCACAGGGCAGCAUGCCGCGCGCAAGCGUUGGAGGUUGCGGGCGAAAGCCACAACAAUGGAAAGUGUCACAGAAAACAAACCGCCUCGCGCAAGCGAGGUAAGGGUGAAAAGGCGAGGUAAAAGCUCACCGCUCUAACAGUAAUGAAGGAGGCACGACAAACCCCAUGCGGUGCAAGACAGAACAGGACCAAGAGCGGCCCGCUCGCAACCUGCCGAAAGGCAGGGGAUACGUCCGGGUAAUAGUCGCGCAGAUAAAUGGUCAUCACCGGCGCUGAAAGGCGACGGCACAGAAUCCGGCUUACACCGGCCGAUCCACU
This 380-nucleotide RNase P RNA is filed under the name Verrucomicrobiaceae bacterium. RNAcentral's name for it is "RNase P RNA component class A". It matches the Rfam family "Bacterial RNase P class A". From Rfam's summary of the family: Ribonuclease P (RNase P) is a ubiquitous endoribonuclease, found in archaea, bacteria and eukarya as well as chloroplasts and mitochondria. Its best characterised activity is the generation of mature 5'-ends of tRNAs by cleaving the 5'-leader elements of precursor-tRNAs. Cellular RNase Ps are ribonucleoproteins. Lineage: Bacteria; Pseudomonadati; Verrucomicrobiota; Verrucomicrobiia; Verrucomicrobiales; Verrucomicrobiaceae. The record is from RNAcentral.